RNAcentral lists this ribosomal RNA (399 nucleotides) under uncultured bacterium. RNAcentral's name for it is "partial 16S ribosomal RNA". It matches the Rfam family "Bacterial small subunit ribosomal RNA", at positions 360 to 776 of the family's 1533-position model. The record is from RNAcentral.
AAUUUUCCGCAAUGGGCGAAAGCCUGACGGAGCAACGCCGCGUGAGGGAAGAAGGUCUUCGGAUCGUAAACCUCUGUCUUCAGGGACGAUGAUGACGGUACCUGAGGAGGAAGCCACGGCUAACUACGUGCCAGCAGCCGCGGUAAUACGUAGGUGGCGAGCGUUGUCCGGAAUUACUGGGCGUAAAGGGCGUGUAGGCGGCCAUUUAAGUCAGAUGUGAAAUACCAUGGCUUAACCAUGGGACUGCAUUUGAGACUGGAUGGCUUGAGGAUCGGAGAGGGCAGUGGAAUUCCCAGUGUAGCGGUGAAAUGCGUAGAUAUUGGGAGGAACACCAGUGGCGAAGGCGACUGCCUGGACGACACCUGACGCUGAGGCGCGAAAGCUAGGGGAGCAAACGGG